GGGAAGGGGUGCUGGUCGAUCUUCAUCGGCUUGGCUGAUUUUGUUGGUACUUCAAAUUUAAGUCUGCCCUGCUCAAUGGCCGACUGUAUCUGCUGCCGGAAGAUUUUGCACUCAUUAGUGUCAUGGGAUGUAGCGUUGUGCCACUUGCAAUAUUUCAUCUUCUUCAGUUGUUCGGCAGAAGGUAUCGUAUGAUAUGGCGAGAGCUUGAUCUGCCCUUCCUGGAGGAGAAGGUCGAAGAUUUUAUCGGCCUUCGACGUGUCAAAGCCGAACGUUUCUGGCUCCUUCUUGCCGAACGGGCAUGAUAUCGGCUUCUUUCCCUUAACCCAUUC
This 329-nucleotide long non-coding RNA is filed under the name Setaria viridis. RNAcentral describes it as "long non-coding RNA (SVIR_LNC001783)". Lineage: Eukaryota; Viridiplantae; Streptophyta; Magnoliopsida; Poales; Poaceae. The record is from RNAcentral.